UAUCUGAACCUUCGGGGAACGAUAACGGCGUCGAGCGGCGGACGGGUGAGUAAUGCCUAGGAAAUUGCCCUGAUGUGGGGGAUAACCAUUGGAAACGAUGGCUAAUACCGCAUAAUACCUACGGGUCAAAGAGGGGGACCUUCGGGCCUCUCGCGUCAGGAUAUGCCUAGGUGGGAUUAGCUAGUUGGUGAGGUAAUGGCUCACCAAGGCGACGAUCCCUAGCUGGUCUGAGAGGAUGAUCAGCCACACUGGAACUGAGACACGGUCCAGACUCCUACGGGAGGCAGCAGUGGGGAAUAUUGCACAAUGGGCGCAAGCCUGAUGCAGCCAUGCCGCGUGUGUGAAGAAGGCCUUCGGGUUGUAAAGCACUUUCAGUCGUGAGGAAGGUAGUGUAGUUAAUAGCUGCAUUAUUUGACGUUAGCGACAGAAGAAGCACCGGCUAACUCCGUGCCAGCAGCCGCGGUAAUACGGAGGGUGCGAGCGUUAAUCGGAAUUACUGGGCGUAAAGCGCAUGCAGGUGGUUUGUUAAGUCAGAUGUGAA
RNAcentral lists this ribosomal RNA (541 nucleotides) under Vibrio harveyi. RNAcentral's name for it is "bacterial SSU rRNA". It matches the Rfam family "Bacterial small subunit ribosomal RNA", at positions 64 to 598 of the family's 1533-position model. Lineage: Bacteria; Pseudomonadati; Pseudomonadota; Gammaproteobacteria; Vibrionales; Vibrionaceae. The record is from RNAcentral.